RNAcentral lists this transfer RNA (37 nucleotides) under Clitaetra perroti. RNAcentral describes it as "tRNA-Leu". Lineage: Eukaryota; Metazoa; Arthropoda; Arachnida; Araneae; Nephilidae. The record is from RNAcentral.
AGCUUUUUGGCAGAAAAUUGCGUUAGACUUAGAAUCU